Molecule: ribosomal RNA, 477 nt
Filed under: uncultured bacterium
Lineage: Bacteria
Description: partial 16S ribosomal RNA
Rfam family: Bacterial small subunit ribosomal RNA
Source: RNAcentral
GAUGAACGCUGGCGGCGUGCCUAACACAUGCAAGUCGAACGAAGCACCUUACCUGAUUCUUCGGAUGAAAGUUUGGUGACUGAGUGGCGGACGGGUGAGUAACGCGUGGGUAACCUGCCCUGUACAGGGGGAUAACAGCUGGAAACGGCUGCUAAUACCGCAUAAGCGCACGAGGAGACAUCUCCUUGUGUGAAAAACUCCGGUGGUACAGGAUGGGCCCGCGUCUGAUUAGCUGGUUGGCAAGGUAACGGCCUACCAAGGCAACGAUCAGUAGCCGGUCUGAGAGGAUGAACGGCCACAUUGGAACUGAGACACGGUCCAAACUCCUACGGGAGGCAGCAGUGGGGAAUAUUGCACAAUGGGGGAAACCCUGAUGCAGCAACGCCGCGUGAGUGAAGAAGUAUUUCGGUAUGUAAAGCUCUAUCAGCAGGGAAGAUAAUGACGGUACCUGACGAAGAAGCUCCGGCUAAAUACGUG